AAAGGAGUAGUUGAUGGCAAUUAGGUUUAUAUUCCUAAACCUCUUAAGUGUGACGGGUUUCGUAUUUGUAUAGAUCUUAUUGGAUUGAUCUAUGCUUAAAAGAAGCUCCAGGAAAUAGCACUUAUAUUUAUGAGGCCGUACCGCAAACCGACACUGGUGGAUGAGUAGAGUAUACUAAGGUGUUGAAAGAAUGAUGUUGAAGGAACUCGGCAAAUUAUACCUGUAACUUCGGAAGAAGGGUAACCUGCUUUUAGGCAACUAUGAGUAGGUGGCACAAAAUAGGGAGUAGCGACUGUUUACUAAAAACACAGGACUCUGCAAACACGUAAGUGGAAGUAUAGGGUCUGACGCCUGCCCGGUGCUGGAAGGUUAAUAGGAAGGGUGCAAGCUCCGAAUUGAAGCCCCAGUAAACGGCGGCCGUAACACUGACGGUCCUAAGGUAGCGAAAUUCCUUGUCGGGUAAGUUCCGACCCGCACGAAUGGCGUAACGAUUUCUCCACUGUCUCCAACAUCACUUCAGCGAAAUUGAAUUCCCCGUGCAGAUGCGGGGUACCCGCGGUUAGACGAAGAGACCCCGUGCACCUUUACUAUAGCUUUACAUUGCUAUUAAAAGUGUGAUGUGCAGGAUAGGUGGGAGACUUUGAAGUUAUGGCGCUAGCUAUAAUGGAGUCAACCUUGAGAUACCACCCUUUACACUUUUGAUAUCUAACUAUGUUUCAUUAUCUGGAACUAGGACAUUGUAUGGUGGGUAGUUUGACUGGGGCGGUCGCCUCCUAAAAAGUAACGGAGGCGUGCGAAGGUAAGCUAGAGCUGGUCGGAAAUCAGCUUGAUAGUAUAAUGGCAUAAGCUUGCCUGACUGCGAGGCUGACAAGCCAAGCAGAGACGAAAGUCGGUCAUAGUGAUCCGGUGAUUCUGUAUGGAAGGGUCAUCGCUCAACGGAUAAAAGGUACGCCGGGGAUAACAGGCUGAUGGUGUUCGAGCGUUCAUAGCGACGACACCGUUUGGCACCUCGAUGUCGACUCAUCACAUCCUGGGGCUGAAGAAGGUCCCAAGGGUUCGGCUGUUCGCCGAUUAAAGUGAUACGUGAGUUGGGUUUAGAACGUCGUGAGACAGUUCGGUUUCUAUCUGCCGUGGGUGAAGGAAAUUUGAGAAGGUCUGACUCUAGUACGAGAGGACCGAGAUGGAUAUACCUCUGGUGUACCAGCUGUUAUGCCAAUAGCAUCGCUGGGUGGCUAUGUAUAGAUGGGAUAAUUGCUGAAAGCAUAUAAGCAAGAAACCCUCUUCAAAAAGAUUUCCCAAUUAAGGCCGUGGAAGACUACCACGUUGAUAGGCUAGGUGUGGAAGCAUGGUAACAUGUGAAGCUAACUAGUACUAAUAGCCUGAUUGAUUUAUUUGC
This 1396-nucleotide ribosomal RNA is filed under the name Wolbachia endosymbiont of Drosophila simulans. Its description in RNAcentral is "bacterial LSU rRNA". It matches the Rfam family "Bacterial large subunit ribosomal RNA", at positions 1405 to 2925 of the family's 2925-position model. The record is from RNAcentral. Lineage: Bacteria; Pseudomonadati; Pseudomonadota; Alphaproteobacteria; Rickettsiales; Anaplasmataceae.